RNAcentral lists this ribosomal RNA (327 nucleotides) under Labiobaetis punctatus. RNAcentral's name for it is "partial 12S ribosomal RNA". Lineage: Eukaryota; Metazoa; Arthropoda; Insecta; Ephemeroptera; Baetidae. The record is from RNAcentral.
ACUAUAAGGCCGUUAAUACCACCUGAGUAGUACCGGCUUAAGCCCUAAACUCAAAGAAUUUGGCGGCUCUUCACCUCUUUAGAGGAACCUGCCCCGUAAUCGAUGAUCCACGUACCUAACUACCUAACUUUAUAGCUUGUAUACCGCCGUUUAGAGUGAGUCCUAAGACCCGCUCUUAAUUAAAUUAUUAAAUAAUUCAGGUCAAGGUGCAGCCCAUGGCUAGGAGGAGGUGGGUUACAAUGAAUUAUAUGGCCGGAAUUUAGACAUAAUAUCUUUGUGAAGUUGGAUUUAAAAGUAAAUUAAAAUUAAAUUGGUAGAGCUCUGAAG